This 221-nucleotide ribosomal RNA is filed under the name Kaupichthys hyoproroides (false moray). RNAcentral's name for it is "partial 12S ribosomal RNA". It matches the Rfam family "Bacterial small subunit ribosomal RNA", at positions 899 to 1239 of the family's 1533-position model. Lineage: Eukaryota; Metazoa; Chordata; Actinopteri; Anguilliformes; Chlopsidae. The record is from RNAcentral.
ACCCAAAGGACUUGGCGGUGCCUCAAACCCACAUAGAGGAGCCUGUCCUAGAACCGAUGAUCCCCGUUAAACCUCACCUCUCCUUGUUUUAUCAGCCUAUAUACCGCCGUCGUCAGCUUACCUUUUGAAAGACCAAUAGUAAGCCCAAGGAGCCAUGCUCAGAACGUCAGGUCGAGGUGUAGCCAACGGAGAGGGAAUGAGAUGGGCUACAUUCUCUGACC